CCUACGGGGGGCUGCAGUGGGGGAUAUUGCACAAUGGAGGAAACUCUGAUGCAGCAACGCCGCGUGAGGGAAGAAGGUCUUCGGAUUGUAAACCUCUGUCCUCAGGGACGAUAAUGACGGUACCUGAGGAGGAAGCUCCGGCUAACUACGUGCCAGCAGCCGCGGUAAUACGUAGGGAGCAAGCGUUGUCCGGAUUUACUGGGUGUAAAGGGUGCGUAGGCGGCCCUGCAAGUCAGGUGUGAAAACUAUGGGCUUAACUCAUAGAUUGCACUUGAAACUGUGGGGCUUGAGUGAAGUAGAGGCAGGGGGAAGUGCCGGGGUAGCGGUGAAAUGCGGAGGGGUCGGGGAGAACACGAGUGGCGAAGGCGGCCUGGUGGGAUUUAACGGACGCUGGGUCGCGAAGGCGUGGGUAGCAAACAGGAUUAGAUACCGGGGUAGUC
RNAcentral lists this ribosomal RNA (440 nucleotides) under uncultured bacterium. Its description in RNAcentral is "bacterial SSU rRNA". It matches the Rfam family "Bacterial small subunit ribosomal RNA", at positions 338 to 795 of the family's 1533-position model. The record is from RNAcentral.